This 518-nucleotide ribosomal RNA is filed under the name Bacillus licheniformis. RNAcentral describes it as "bacterial SSU rRNA". It matches the Rfam family "Bacterial small subunit ribosomal RNA", at positions 21 to 520 of the family's 1533-position model. The record is from RNAcentral. Lineage: Bacteria; Bacillati; Bacillota; Bacilli; Caryophanales; Bacillaceae.
GGCUCAGGACGAACGCUGGCGGCGUGCCUAAUACAUGCAAGUCGAGCGGACCGACGGGAGCUUGCUCCCUUAGGUCAGCGGCGGACGGGUGAGUAACACGUGGGUAACCUGCCUGUAAGACUGGGAUAACUCCGGGAAACCGGGGCUAAUACCGGAUGCUUGAUUGAACCGCAUGGUUCAAUCAUAAAAGGUGGCUUUUAGCUACCACUUACAGAUGGACCCGCGGCGCAUUAGCUAGUUGGUGAGGUAACGGCUCACCAAGGCGACGAUGCGUAGCCGACCUGAGAGGGUGAUCGGCCACACUGGGACUGAGACACGGCCCAGACUCCUACGGGAGGCAGCAGUAGGGAAUCUUCCGCAAUGGACGAAAGUCUGACGGAGCAACGCCGCGUGAGUGAUGAAGGUUUUCGGAUCGUAAAACUCUGUUGUUAGGGAAGAACAAGUACCGUUCGAAUAGGGCGGCACCUUGACGGUACCUAACCAGAAAGCCACGGCUAACUACGUGCCAGCAGCCGCGG